Molecule: ribosomal RNA, 233 nt
Filed under: uncultured bacterium
Lineage: Bacteria
Description: partial 16S ribosomal RNA
Rfam family: Bacterial small subunit ribosomal RNA
Source: RNAcentral
UGGGUAACCUGCCCUGUACACACGGAUAACAUACCGAAAGGUAUGCUAAUACGAGAUAAUAUACUUUUAUCGCAUGGUAGAAGUAUCAAAGCUUUUGCGGUACAGGAUGGACCCGCGUCUGAUUAGCUAGUUGGUAAGGUAACGGCUUACCAAGGCGACGAUCAGUAGCCGACCUGAGAGGGUGAUCGGCCACAUUGGAACUGAGACACGGUCCAAACUCCGUACGGGAGCAG